RNAcentral lists this ribosomal RNA (465 nucleotides) under uncultured bacterium. RNAcentral's name for it is "partial 16S ribosomal RNA". It matches the Rfam family "Bacterial small subunit ribosomal RNA", at positions 338 to 795 of the family's 1533-position model. The record is from RNAcentral.
CCUACGGGAUGCAGCAGUAGGGAAUCUUCCACAAUGGGCGAAAGCCUGAUGGAGCAACGCCGCGUGGGUGAAGAAGGUCUUCGGAUCGUAAAACCCUGUUGUUAGAGAAGACAGUGCGUGAGAGUAACUGUUCACGUUUCGACGGUAUCUAACCAGAACGCCACGGCUAACUACGUGCCAGCAGCCGCGGCAAUACGUAGGUGGCAUGCGUUAUCCGGUUUUAUUUGGCGUAAAGGGAACGCAGGCGGUCUUUUAAGUCUGAUGGGAAAGCCUUCGGCUUAACCGGAGUAGUGCAUUGGAAACUGGGAGACUUGAGUGCAGAAGAGGAGAGUGGAACGCGAUGGGUAGCGGUGAAAUGCGUAGAUAUAUGGAAGAACACCAGUGGCGAAAGCGGCUCUCUGGUCUGUCACUGACGCUGAGGUUCGAAAGCGUGGGUAGCAAACAGGAUUAGAUACCCGUGUAGUC